AUGUAAAGUAUUUUCUAACCCUGUAUCUUCAUCAAUCUUAUGAUUGAAGCCUGUCUUUUAUUUGGCUGGCAUUUUGCCAACUCAGCCACCGCAUUGGACAAGAUUUUUUUAGCUGCAAGGUGUGGUGUGUGACCAGGUGUGGUGUGUGACCAGGUGUGGUGUGUGACCAGGUGUGGUGUGUGACCAGGUGUGGUGUGGUGCUGUGGGGUGAGUUCUGCGGUGUUGUCAUGUCCCGUUGUGUGUGGGGUUGGCGUUGAACUGCCCUACUGUGUGCACGUGUGUGUGUGUACACAAGGUUACAUGAUGUUGGAGCCUAUCUGUUGGCUGACGAGGAGUGCAGUCUGAUCCAGCAGGUUCACGCCAUCAGUAAUGUAGAGGAGUCUAUCUACAUGGAGUCUUCUGUCCAGCCCUAUGGGCCCCAGGCCAGGUAAAACACAACAUGGAGUCUUCUGUCUAGUCCUAUGGGCCCCAGGCCAGGUAAAACACAGCAUGGAGUCUUCUGUCUAGUCCAAUGGGCCACAGGCCAGGUAAAACACAACAUGGAGUCUUCUGUCUAGUCCAAUGGGCCCCAGGCCAGGUAAAACACAGCAUGGAGUCUUCUGUCCAGCCCUAUGGGCCCCAGGCCAGGUAAAACACAGCAUGGAGUCUUCUGUCUAGUCCAAUGGGCCCCAGGCCAGGUAAAACACAACAUGGAGUCUUCUGUCUAGUCCUAUGGGCCCCAGGCCAGGUAAAACACAGCAUGGAGUCUUCUGUCUAGUCCUAUGGGCCCCAGGCCUGGUAAAACACAGCAUGGAGUCUUCUGUCUAGUCUUAUGGGCCCCAGGUAAAACACAGCAUCUGACAAACUGGGAGCUAAGGGACAGCUGUUUGUCACUGGCUGGGUACAUGCAGGUAUGGUGGACGUUGAUGUGGCAACGGCAAGCACUGUUGGGGGAGGAGAUUGCUGUAGCCUCCGUUAUUAUAUGAAGAGGAGAUUAUAAUGAAGGCUACAGACAUAACGAGCUACAUCUAAGUACUUUGGCCUCAACCUUUAAUAAACAACAGCCUUUGAUCUGUUUUCACCCAGUGUACCUGAUGGAACUCACUGACUACCUUUUUAAUGGGCAUCUAUCAUUACUUUUGAAGGUACCGGUCGAUGUCUUAGUCCUACAAAUAGCUGGUUGGUCUGGUUUGUGUGUGGCUGCUUGCUGAAUAAGCUUUGUUGUGCAGAAUGCUGGUGGGAGGAAGGUAUUUAUCUUCCUCUGAGGUACAGGUCAUAGUUAAGCAGGAUGGCAGUUGUCUAUCUGAUGGACUCUUCCUGCUAAACCUGCUUGAAUGGGUUAGGGUUUCUGCUGCUGUGUCAGAUAUCACUGUGAAGAUUAAUGGGUUGUUGAGCUGUGUGUGUGUGUGUGUGUGUGUGUGUGUGUGUGUGUGUGUGUGUGUGUGUGUGUGUGUGUGUGUGUGUGAGAUUUCAAGUGUGUGUGUGUGUGUGUGUGUGUGAGAGAGAAUGUGUGUGUGUGUGUGAGAGAGAGUGUGUGUGUGAGAGAGGGAGAUAAUGUGAGUGUGAACACGAGAUUGUGUGUUUGGCAAUUUUAUAAGUUAGAGCUUUCUGCUAACCUCUGCACUUCAGAAAUUCCUCUCGCUUCUAGAGCCUCCCCUCUCCUUCUCCCCCUCCCCUCUCCUUCUCCCCCUCCCCUCUCCUUUCCCUCCCCUCUCAGCCUCCUGUCUUCCCUCCAUGUUGUUGUCUCAUACUGUUAGUACUGUAUGUUAUAGUCAGGGUUGUGCUCAGUGGACCUAGAAACUGAGGCACUAUAUUCAAUCAGUACAGUCAAAAUGCUUGUUAAUUUCCACCUCGUGUACCUAUUGAAUGUGACCCGGACUUAGGGCUUUUCUCUUGUUUCUGUUUCCCUAGCAGACCCUCCUCCCCAUCCCUCACUCUUUCUGUCCAUAGCCAAUACUUUCCUCGCCUUUUAGGUUUCACCCAAUAAAUAAGAGUUAUUGUCAGAUUGACCAAACAAAUCUAAUGUUCCAGUAACAGCCACUCAAAUGUUGGUGUAUGUGGUACUGCUCGCAACACAGACUUAGCCUGGUUAAACUAGCCUGAACGCUGAACUCCCCAUUCUAGGGAAGUGAAACAAUGGUGAGCGCAGCAUUCAGUCUGGUUCAACCAG
This is a long non-coding RNA of Oncorhynchus tshawytscha (Chinook salmon), 2149 nucleotides long. The record is from Ensembl. NCBI's taxonomy places the organism in Eukaryota, Metazoa, Chordata, Actinopteri, Salmoniformes, Salmonidae.